GUCUACGUUCAUAAACUGUAUUUAUUCUUAUUUGUAUAAUAGACUAUAAAAAUAAAUGAACACAUCAUUUUCAACAAUACGCGUCGUUAUAUCAUAGAUUAACGAGCGUUUAAUAAAACUAAAACAAAUAACGUUCGACUUUGACGCACACAAUACAAAAUAGCUCUUGAUAUACGUAAGCCGUAUAUUUUAUUAUAAUAUAUACAGUAUUAAAUCUGCUGGUAUUCGAUUUAAUGCGGUGUCAAUGCGAUCUACUUAGAAAUAACUAAAUCAAAAUCACGCAUAAUAUAAUAUUUCAGGGUACACGGUUAUGUAUAAUACAAAAGGGCCGGCCAUUCAAAAUAAUACCAUGGAAACGGGUCAUGUGUUCGAAAAUCACCACGAGUUGGAAUUCAAUCCGUUUGAAAGAUCGUCUGUUCGAGAGAUAGAUGGGUAGGAUAGAAUAGUAUGAUCGAUCACGAUAAUGAUGUGAAUCGAUUUUUCGUAAUUGAAACAAAUUACUCGAUCGUAUAAAACCCAAAUAACAAUAAAUGUUACCGUUAAUGUCCGCAGUCGGUAAAUUAUGAACGACGACAAUCACUGGUGAAUGUCGCCGUACAUGGUGUAGGUAAUGGCUUCGGUAGCCAUUGGUGAAUGUUGACAUAUUGACGUAUUAAAUGUGCACUGUUUGAGAACAUUCACAAGUGAAUGUUAAUAUUAACAUGGCCGUAUUGACGGUUGUCGGUAAUACCGAUAUUGUUUUUUUUUUUUAAAUGGAAUCUCGGGAUAUAGAGAAUCAUAACAAUAAUAUAGUAUUAUUAAAAUAAUAUUACCAAGUGUUUAUAUAAUAUUAGUUACCGUGUAAAUUGACAAUUUCGGUAAAAUAAAAUAUAUAUAACAUUUUGUGUCCCCGAAAUAUUUUAGCUGUAGUUUUGUGGUAUAGUGGAUUGUGAUUUUUAUAAAUAAGCUAAUAAAUCACCAAAAAUGGUGUUAUUAAUCAAUCAUACACCAGACAUCAGCUCUCAGUGUGUAACGAAAAUUCAAUAUUAAUCGCUGAUGUAUUAGGGGAUCUCUAAAUUUCGUUAAGACAAUCGUCUGCAUCAAAUUUUACGACUGGUGGACAAGGGUAUGCGUUAUGCGAUUGCAAACCAAAAUGCACACAACAAAGUGUAGUUAAAGAAAUGUUAGCAUAUUAUGUAAUUGCCAAAAUGCCAUAACAGUUUCCCAUGUUUCAAUUAGUAGAACUGAUUUCUAUAGACGUAAUAGUGAAUAAUUUGUAUUUUGUUUACAAAANGAUGUAUUAGGGGAUCUCUAAAUUUCGUUAAGACAAUCGUCUGCAUCAAAUUUUACGACUGGUGGACAAAGGUGUACGUUAUGCGAUUGCAAACCAAAAUGCACACAACAAAGUGUGUAAUUAAAGAAAUGUUAGCAUAUUAUGUAAUUGUCAAAAUGCCAUAACAGUUUCCCAUGUUUCAAUUAGUAGAACUGAUUUCUAUAGACGUAAUAGUGAAUAAUUUGUAUUUUGUUUACAAAAUCAUUGUCCCCAUAUUUUUUUUAGAUAACAAUUUUUAUGAGAUUAAAUAAUCGGUACAUAAAUUGACAAUAGAAAUAUA
This 1592-nucleotide long non-coding RNA is filed under the name Cinara cedri. The record is from RNAcentral. Lineage: Eukaryota; Metazoa; Arthropoda; Insecta; Hemiptera; Aphididae.